Molecule: long non-coding RNA, 438 nt
Organism: Helianthus annuus (common sunflower)
Lineage: Eukaryota; Viridiplantae; Streptophyta; Magnoliopsida; Asterales; Asteraceae
Exons: 3
Source: RefSeq, a predicted model, not a curated record
CACCAUCCUCCUUAAUUUUGCCGCCUCUUACGUUGAAAACCUUAAAAGUUGGAUACGCUAUGGAGCAUUCCCACCCUUCUCCUCAAUUAUCCCUGAUGAUGAAAACCUUAAUGCUCACGCGUAUUUUCUUUCAUCCACGAUAAACAAUGUCACCAUCGGAAGCUUCAACCGUGAUUCCCAUCAGGGCUUCACUUGGGGUUCCUCCACUUCUCAUGGUGUAUAAUAAUGCAAGAGCCAAGUCAAAUGAUGAGCAUAUUGUUUAUUGAGCUGCAUUGCAGGGAUGAGGAGGACUAGAGACGAUCAUGUUUCCGAGGGUGAUUUUCAUCUUACGCUGCCGAUUGUCUCUGAAUUGUAAGUCUCUAAUUGAAUACUUAACAUCAUUUGGCUUCAUAAAUACAUUCUAUUGGUAAAUUCUUGAUUAUGAACUCUACUGCAACU